CACAGUAGUAUAAAAUUAGGAUAUUAAUCAUUAAUUGGCAGUUAUUACAAAAUUUAACCAUAGUAGAGUUUGUACUGAUUAGAUUAUUUGGAUUACAGAUUUAAUUCCCUACGUAAUUGAUUAGUAUGAUUAGUACCAUUCUAUUUUGUUUAAAUAAGUAGUAAGAAUAGUAAAACCUGUCUUAACUUAAAUCAAGCUGUAACGAUCAUAGAAAGCAUCACUUUAUUAUCUUUUGCUGAGGAACUUUUUAAGAAAGGCCUCCUUUUGUACUUAAGAGAAGAUCCCUACUCUAUUUGAAGACAUACCUGUAGUUGAAAAUUGGCUUGCUCUUUUAGAUAAUAUCGAGAAAGAAAAACUCACAUGGUCUUUUCUGAAACAAAAGAUUGGUCAGCUCAGUAAUAGGAGGACACUAGUGAAAACAUAAAUCUUGCCUCCUUACAAGAACUUUAGCUUGGAUACAUGAAAAUAACAACACUAUUACUAGGGAAGAUAAGAAUAAGAGAAUAGUACUUCUUAGUAGAGAACUUACGAUGCCUUCCUUGAAAAUUAUCUCGUCCAAACUAAUGCUGAAGAAUUGAAAGGUGAUCCAACAUCUAAGCUGACCUAUAAAUUAAACAGAUUAACCCAUCAUAAAAUGUUCCCAAACUGUUGCAAACACAAGAAAGUAGCUGCAACCAAGCUGUUCCAACUUAUCCUAGGCUUUUUUCCUUUAUUAAAACCCACAAGGACCUGCUCUCGUCAAGACCAAUUGUAGAGGAAAGGACUUCUACAUAUAAUUUAGAAAAGACUAUGGCUAAAUGGUGUAACAUAUUUUUAAGUGAAACUGACAGCUCUACCAUGAUAAAUUCAUCAAUGCUUAGGAGACUACCUGACAUACAUCCUAAAAACGAAGAGGGCAACUUUUUCACAAUAUAUGACUUUGAUAGCCUUUACUCUUCCUUCUGUUUAGAACCCGCUGGCCUUGUUUUUUAUAGGUUUUUAUUUAAAAUAUACUACAGUCGAAUGUUAUGGUUGACUUAUUGAGGGACAUAGCACAUUUAAUUUGCUAUAACUUUUAUUACAUUUUCAAGGGUAGAAUAUAUUAGCAGGCAAUAGGGUGCCCAUAAGAAAUCUAAUGGUAGAUCCACUUGCAGCAAUCUUAUUAAGAUUUGUAGAACAGUCCUUUUUCCAACUUUCCAACCUGUUCUGAAGUUCUGUAUCAGAUUUGUAGAUGACAUCUUUG
RNAcentral lists this long non-coding RNA (1222 nucleotides) under Androctonus crassicauda. The record is from RNAcentral. Lineage: Eukaryota; Metazoa; Arthropoda; Arachnida; Scorpiones; Buthidae.